GAUGAAGAACGCAACGAAAUGCGAUAAGUAAUGUGAAUUGCAGAAUUCAGUGAAUCAUCGAAUCUUUGAACGCACAUUGCGCCCGCCAGUAUUCUGGCGGGCAUGCCUGUUCGAGCGUCAUUUCAACCAUCAAGCCCCAGGCUUGUGUUGGGGACCUGCGGCUGCCGCAGGCCCUGAAAACCAGUGGCGGGCUCGCUGUCACACCGGGCGUAGUAGAUUUUAUCUCGCUCUGGGCGUGCUGCGGGUUCCGGCCGUUAAAAAACCCUUUUAACCCAAGGUUGACCUCGGAUCAGGUAGGAAUACCCGCUGAACUUAAGCAUAUCAAUAAGCGGAGGA
Molecule: unclassified non-coding RNA, 336 nt
Filed under: soil metagenome
Description: partial contains 5.8S ribosomal RNA, internal transcribed spacer 2, and large subunit ribosomal RNA
Rfam family: 5.8S ribosomal RNA (bases 1-120)
Source: RNAcentral